UAAGACUGGGAUAACUUCGGGAAACCGGAGCUAAUACCGGAUAAUAUUUAGCUUCGCAUGAAGCAAUAGUGAAAGACGGUUCUGCUGUCACUUAUAGAUGGACCCGCGGUGUAUUAGCUAGUUGGUGAGGUAACGGCUCACCAAGGCAACGAUACAUAGCCGACCUGAGAGGGUGAUCGGCCACACUGGGACUGAGACACGGCCCAGACUCCUACGGGAGGCAGCAGUAGGGAAUCUUCCGCAAUGGACGAAAGUCUGACGGAGCAACGCCGCGUGAGUGAAGAAGGUUUUCGGAUCGUAAAACUCUGUUGUAAGGGAAGAACAAGUACGUUAGUAACUGAACGUACCUUGACGGUACCUUACCAGAAAGCCACGGCUAACUACGUGCCAGCAGCCGCGGUAAUACGUAGGUGGCAAGCGUUAUCCGGAAUUAUUGGGCGUAAAGCGCGCGUAGGCGGUCUCUUAAGUCUGAUGUGAAAGCCCCCGGCUCAACCGGGGAGGGUCAUUGGAAACUGGGAGACUUGAGUGCAGAAGAGGAGAGUGGAAUUCCAUGUGUAGCGGUGAAAUGCGCAGAGAUAUGGAGGAACACCAGUGGCGAAGGCGGCUCUCUGGUCUGUAACUGACGCUGAGGUGCGAAAGCGUGGGGAUCAACAGGAUUAGAUACCCUGGUAGUCCACGCCGUAACGAUGAGUGCUAAGUGUUGGGGGGUUUCCGCCCCUCAGUGCUGCAGCUAACGCAUUAACACUCCGCCUGGGGAGUACGUCGCAGAC
Molecule: ribosomal RNA, 770 nt
Filed under: Macrococcoides caseolyticum
Lineage: Bacteria; Bacillati; Bacillota; Bacilli; Caryophanales; Staphylococcaceae
Description: bacterial SSU rRNA
Rfam family: Bacterial small subunit ribosomal RNA
Source: RNAcentral